RNAcentral lists this small nuclear RNA (118 nucleotides) under Tupaia belangeri chinensis (Chinese tree shrew). RNAcentral's name for it is "Tupaia chinensis (Chinese tree shrew) U4 spliceosomal RNA". It matches the Rfam family "U4 spliceosomal RNA". From Rfam's summary of the family: U4 small nuclear RNA (U4 snRNA) is a component of the major U2-dependent spliceosome. The structure of U4 snRNA from yeast and human has been reported. The record is from Rfam by way of RNAcentral. Lineage: Eukaryota; Metazoa; Chordata; Mammalia; Scandentia; Tupaiidae.
AGCUUUGCGCAGUGGCAGUAUCGUAGCCAAUGAGGUUUAUCCGAGGCGCGAUUAUUGCUAAUUGAAAAGAAAUAUGAGUUACACACUAAAAAUUAAAAUAUUAUUGAAAAACAAAUCA